CAGUAGCCGCGGUAAUACGAAGGGUGCAAGCGUUACUCGGAAUUACUGGGCGUAAAGCGUGCGUAGGUGGUGGUUUAAGUCCGUUGUGAAAGCCCUGGGCUCAACCUGGGAAUUGCAGUGGAUACUGGGUCACUAGAGUGUGGUAGAGGAUAGUGGAAUUUCCGGUGUAGCAGUGAAAUGCGUAGAGAUCGGAAGGAACAUCUGUGGCGAAGGCGACUAUCUGGGCCAACACUAACACUGAGGCACGAAAGCGUGGGGAGCAAACAGGAUUAGAUACCCGUGUAGUCCCUGUCUCUUAUAC
This 301-nucleotide ribosomal RNA is filed under the name uncultured bacterium. RNAcentral describes it as "partial 16S ribosomal RNA". It matches the Rfam family "Bacterial small subunit ribosomal RNA", at positions 509 to 807 of the family's 1533-position model. The record is from RNAcentral.